GCGAAACCACUCUCUGGCUCAUUCAUGCUUUCUGAGUAACGAAGGUGCAGAACAGGGCAACGCGCCAAACUGCCGAGGAGACCUUUGUUGGGCUCCUGAACCUGCUCCCUGAUGGUAGUCAUGAGCAGACAGCAUGUCCUGAGGGGUGAGCAUCCUCAAUGAUGGAUGCCUCCUCCUUGAGGCACAGCCUUUUGAAGAUGUCCUCGAUGAUGUGAAGGCUAGAGAUCAUCACGGAGCCUACAACCCUCUGCAACAUUUUUCGAUCCCGUGCAUUGGAGCCUCCAUACCAGACAGUGGUGCACCCAGUCAGAACGCUCUCCGCGGUGUAUCUAUAGAAAUUUGCCGGCGUCCCUGAUGAUAUACCAAAUCUCCUCAACAUCCAAAUGAAAACCAGAAUCAUAAUUCAGAGGGUAAGUGCCCAUGAUGGAACUGGUUGAGACUACAACGAUGCUGCUUUUCCCAAUCCUGUUCACUGGAGCUCCCAUACCA
Molecule: long non-coding RNA, 489 nt
Organism: Mobula hypostoma (lesser devil ray)
Lineage: Eukaryota; Metazoa; Chordata; Chondrichthyes; Myliobatiformes; Myliobatidae
Exons: 3
Source: RefSeq, a predicted model, not a curated record